Molecule: ribosomal RNA, 109 nt
Filed under: Scophthalmus maximus (turbot)
Lineage: Eukaryota; Metazoa; Chordata; Actinopteri; Pleuronectiformes; Scophthalmidae
Source: RNAcentral
GCUUACGGCCACACCGCCUGGUAUACGCUUGAUCUCGGAAGCUAAGGUAGGUUGGGCCUGGUUAGUACUUGGAUGGGAGACCGCCUGGGAAUACCAGGUGCUGUAAGCU